Molecule: microRNA precursor, 121 nt
Filed under: Anopheles dirus
Lineage: Eukaryota; Metazoa; Arthropoda; Insecta; Diptera; Culicidae
Description: microRNA mir-210
Source: RNAcentral
ACAGGGUUUACCACAGCCGCUGACACAUACUGCACACUUUUUGAAACAAGCGGCAUACUCACUUGUUUCAAAAAGUGUGCAGUAUGUGUCAGCGGCUGUGGUAAACCCUGUAAGCAACACU